This 73-nucleotide transfer RNA is filed under the name Anaplasma marginale. RNAcentral's name for it is "tRNA-His". It matches the Rfam family "tRNA". Rfam says of the family: Transfer RNA (tRNA) molecules are approximately 80 nucleotides in length. The record is from RNAcentral. RNAcentral also lists the same sequence under 8 other names. Lineage: Bacteria; Pseudomonadati; Pseudomonadota; Alphaproteobacteria; Rickettsiales; Anaplasmataceae.
GCGGGCGUAGCUCAGUCGGUAGAGCAUCAGUUUGUGGCACUGGAGGUCGCCAGUUCGAUCCUGGUCGCUCGCC